CAACCCUCGAGCCCCUGUGGCCCGGCGUUGGGGAUCUGCCACGGCAGGCCCCUAAAACCAGUGGCGGACCCGAAGGCCCUCUCCUUUGCGCAGUAGCAUCAGCCUCGCAUUGGGAUCCCUCGGCGUCCUGCCUCUAAACCCCCCACAAGUCCGCUCCGGCGGCACCAA
Molecule: unclassified non-coding RNA, 168 nt
Filed under: uncultured Plectosphaerella
Lineage: Eukaryota; Fungi; Ascomycota; Sordariomycetes; Glomerellales; Plectosphaerellaceae
Description: sequence contains ITS2
Source: RNAcentral